GAUGAAGAACGUAGCAAAAUGCGAUACUUGGUGUGAAUUGCAGAAUCCCGUGAACCAUCGAGUUUUUGAACGCAAGUUGCGCCCGAAGCCUUUUGGCCGAGGGCACGUCUGCCUGGGCGUCACGCAUCGCGUCGCCCCCCACAAUUCUCCGUAAAGGGAACAUGUGUUUUGGGGGCGGAUAUUGGUCUCCCGUGCUCAUGGCGUGGUUGGCCGAAAUAGGAGUCCUUUCGAUGGACGCACGAACUAGGGGUGGUCGUAAAAACCCUCGUCUUUUGUUUCGUGCUGUUGCUCGCAAGGUAAACUCUUUAAAAACCCCAAUGUGUCGUCUCUUGACGACGCUUCGACCGCGACCCCAGGUCAGGCGGGACUACCCGCUGAGUUUAAGCAUAUCAAUAAGCGGAGGA
RNAcentral lists this unclassified non-coding RNA (404 nucleotides) under soil metagenome. RNAcentral's name for it is "partial contains 5.8S ribosomal RNA, internal transcribed spacer 2, and large subunit ribosomal RNA". The stretch from base 1 to 122 matches the Rfam family "5.8S ribosomal RNA", at positions 35 to 154 of the family's 154-position model. The record is from RNAcentral.